Molecule: ribosomal RNA, 253 nt
Filed under: uncultured bacterium
Lineage: Bacteria
Description: partial 16S ribosomal RNA
Rfam family: Bacterial small subunit ribosomal RNA
Source: RNAcentral
UACGGAGGGUGCAAGCGUUGUUCGGAAUUACUGGGCGUAAAGCGCACGUAGGCGGGUCUGCAUGUCGAUUGUGAAAUCCCCGGGCUUAACCUGGGAAUUGCAGUCGAAACGGCAGAUCUUGAAUGCUUGAGAGGAUGGCGGAAUUCCUGGUGUAGUAGUGAAAUACGUAGAUAUCAGGAAGAACACCCGAGGCGAAGGCGGCUAUCUGGUGAUGCAUUGACGCUGAGGUGCGAAAGCGUGGGGAGCAAACAGG